This 253-nucleotide ribosomal RNA is filed under the name uncultured bacterium. RNAcentral's name for it is "partial 16S ribosomal RNA". It matches the Rfam family "Bacterial small subunit ribosomal RNA", at positions 524 to 776 of the family's 1533-position model. The record is from RNAcentral.
UACGGAGGAUGCAAGCGUUAUCCGGAUUCAUUGGGUUUAAAGGGUGCGCAGGCGGGGAUGUAAGUCAGUGGUGAAAAACUGCCGCUUAACGGUAGUCGUGCCAUUGAUACUGCAUCUCUUGAGUUUGGAUGAGGUAGGCGGAAUGUGCAGUGUAGCGGUGAAAUGCAUAGAGAUUGCACAGAACACCAAUUGCGAAGGCAGCUUACUAAUCCACGACUGACGCUGAGGCACGAAAGCGUGGGGAGCGAACAGG